CUGAAGAGAAGAUUUCCUCGAUACUUUUUCUGGGGUGGCGACUUCUCCUCAGGAGAAGGCCUCUCAUGAAUUCUUCUAGUCCUUUCCAUGCCACUCAUGAAGUUUGGAAGUCUGCUUCCCCUUAGUUUGCACCAGGAAAUGAAAUCCAGAAAUCGUGACCUAGGACGACCCUCUAAGUCCCAACAGAAUAUUUGCAUUAGCCAACUGCCACCUGGAGGUCCCGAAAAGGCAAAUGAAUGUGUGCCAGGCUGCCCUGGAGAGUCAGAUGCAAGAUGCCAGCCUUCUCACCCAGCUCCCUCCAGCACCUUCCAGAAAGCCGAGCGUCCAGGAAGUGAGCUCACUGGUGUUGCCUUCUGUUGCCAUGGGAACAAACCCCACGCUGCCUAUAAAAACCACUUGCUCACACCGUCGGUUUUUAAAUUUUUUAUCAUCGUUUUAGGCCUGUCUCCAAGAACAGUAUUAGCCACCUCACGGAGUGUGGUGUGAGGACCUGAGAGAAGAGACCCUUUGAAAACUGCCGGCGAAGGAAAUGACGGCGCGUGCCAAGGCUGGGAGGCUAUUUCUGGGGUCCAGCAGCCGGUUAACUAAUUGCAGAGACACCCACGGAGAAAGGGAGAAGGAUUUGGUCCCAGAACCACCUAGAGUUUAGAUCGGUGCUCAGCAUACGCCAUCAACACCCAGAGCUGACGGAAGAAUGGGAGAAUUUGAUGAAGCUGCUUUAAACGUCUUUUGACGCUGUUGUGUGC
Ornithorhynchus anatinus (platypus) is the source of this 746-nucleotide long non-coding RNA. RefSeq lists it as uncharacterized. NCBI's taxonomy places the organism in Eukaryota, Metazoa, Chordata, Mammalia, Monotremata, Ornithorhynchidae. The record is from RefSeq and is a predicted model, not a curated record. The transcript has 5 exons.